GAUGAACGCUGGCGGCGUGCCUAACACAUGCAAGUCGAGCGGCAGCGAGGGGUGCUUGCACCCUGUCGGCGAGCGGCGGACGGCUGAGUAACGCGUGGGAACGUGCCCCAAAGUGAGGAAUAACUGCCCGAAAGGGUAGCUAAUACCGCAUAUUAUCUUCGGAUCAAAGGAUUUAUCCGCUUUGGGAGCGGCUCGCGUCGGAUUAGGUAGUUGGUGAGGUAAUGGCUCACCAAGCCGACGAUCCGUAGCUGAUCUGAGAGGAUGACCAGCCAGACUGGAACUGAGACACGGUCCAGACUCCUACGGGAGGCAGCAGUGAGGAAUCUUCCACAAUGGGCGAAAGCCUGAUGGAGCAACGCCGCGUGCAGGACGAAGGCCUUCGGGUUGUAAACUGCUUUUAUAAGUGAGGAAUAUGACGGUAACUUAUGAAUAAGGAUCGGCUAACUACGUG
RNAcentral lists this ribosomal RNA (451 nucleotides) under uncultured bacterium. RNAcentral's name for it is "partial 16S ribosomal RNA". It matches the Rfam family "Bacterial small subunit ribosomal RNA", at positions 28 to 507 of the family's 1533-position model. The record is from RNAcentral.